Molecule: ribosomal RNA, 257 nt
Filed under: uncultured bacterium
Lineage: Bacteria
Description: partial 16S ribosomal RNA
Rfam family: Bacterial small subunit ribosomal RNA
Source: RNAcentral
UGAGGCGCGCCGAGUUUGAUCCUGGCUCAGGACGAACGCUGGCGGCGUGCUUAACACAUGCAAGUCGAACGCGAACCACGGCUUCGGCUGUGGGGAGAGUGGCGAACGGGUGAGUAACGCGUAGUCAACCUGCCCUUUGGUGGGGGAUAGCCCCGGGAAACCGGGAUUAAUACCGCAUGCAGUCCAAGGAUCGCCUGGUCUUUGGAUGAAAGCCUUCGGGCGCCGGAGGAUGGGACUGCGUGGCAUUAGGUAGUUGG